RNAcentral lists this ribosomal RNA (407 nucleotides) under Verrucomicrobiota bacterium. RNAcentral describes it as "Verrucomicrobia bacterium partial 16S ribosomal RNA". It matches the Rfam family "Bacterial small subunit ribosomal RNA", at positions 355 to 776 of the family's 1533-position model. Lineage: Bacteria; Pseudomonadati; Verrucomicrobiota. The record is from RNAcentral.
UGGGGAAUAUUGGACAAUGGAGGGAACUCUGAUCCAGCAAUUCUGUGUGUGUGAAGAAGGUUUUAGGACUGUAAAACACUUUUAGUAGGGAAGAAAAAAAUGACGGUACCUACAGAAGAAGCAACGUCUAAAUAUGUGCCAGCAGCCGCGGUAAUACGUAUGUUGCGAGCGUUAUCCGGAAUUAUUGGGCUUAAAGGGCAUCUAGGCGGUAAGACAAGUUGAAGGUGAAAACCUGUGGCUCAACCAUAGGCUUGCCUACAAAACUGUUGAACUAGAGUACUGGAAAGGUGGGUGGAACUACACGAGUAGAGGUGAAAUUCGUAGAUAUGUGUAGGAAUGCCGAUGAUGAAGAUAACUCACUGGACAGAAACUGACGCUGAAGUGCGAAAGCUAGGGGAGCAAACAGG